This 496-nucleotide ribosomal RNA is filed under the name uncultured bacterium. Its description in RNAcentral is "partial 16S ribosomal RNA". It matches the Rfam family "Bacterial small subunit ribosomal RNA", at positions 29 to 507 of the family's 1533-position model. The record is from RNAcentral.
AUGAACGCUGGCGGCGUGCCUAAUACAUGCAAGUCGCGCGAACGGACGAGAAGCUUGCUUCUCUGAUGUUAGCGGCGGACGGGUGAGUAACACGUGGAUAACCUACCUAUAAGACUGGGAUAACUUCGGGAAACCGGAGCUAAUACCGGAUAAUAUUUUGAACCGCAUGGUUCAAAAGUGAAAGACGGUCUUGCUGUCACUUAUAGAUGGAUCCGCGCUGCAUUAGCUAGUUGGUAAGGUAACGGCUUACCAAGGCAACGAUGCAUAGCCGACCUGUGAGGGUGAUCGGCCACACUGGAACUGAGACACGGUCCAGACUCCUACGGGAGGCAGCAGUAGGGAAUCUUCCGCAAUGGGCGAAAGCCUGACGGAGCAACGCCGCGUGAGUGAUGAAGGUCUUCGGAUCGUAAAACUCUGUUAUUAGGGAAGAACAUAUGUGUAAGUAACUGUGCACAUCUUGACGGUACCUAAUCAGAAAGCCACGGCUAACUACGUG